GGGGGAAUAUUGCACAAUGGGGGAAACCCUGAUGCAGCGACGCCGCGUGAGCGAAGAAGGUUUUCGAAUCGUAAAGCUCUGUCCUAUGGGAAGAUAAUGACGGUACCAUAGGAGGAAGCCCCGGCUAACUACGUGCCAGCAGCCGCGGUAAUACGUAGGGGGCAAGCGUUGUCCGGAAUCACUGGGCGUAAAGGGUUCGCAGGCGGAAAUGCAAGUCAGUUGUGAAAGGCAGAGGCUCAACCUCUGUAAGCAAUUGAAACUGUAUUUCUUGAGAUGUGGAGAGGCAAGUGGAAUUCCUAGUGUAGCGGUGAAAUGCGUAGAUAUUAGGAAGAAUACCGGUGGCGAAGGCGACUUGCUGGACACAAACUGACGCUGAGGAACGAAAGCGUGGGUAGCAAACAGG
This 403-nucleotide ribosomal RNA is filed under the name Fusobacteriota bacterium. RNAcentral's name for it is "Fusobacteria bacterium partial 16S ribosomal RNA". It matches the Rfam family "Bacterial small subunit ribosomal RNA", at positions 355 to 776 of the family's 1533-position model. The record is from RNAcentral. Lineage: Bacteria; Fusobacteriati; Fusobacteriota.